This 433-nucleotide ribosomal RNA is filed under the name uncultured bacterium. RNAcentral describes it as "partial 16S ribosomal RNA". It matches the Rfam family "Bacterial small subunit ribosomal RNA", at positions 29 to 507 of the family's 1533-position model. The record is from RNAcentral.
AACGAACGCUGGCGGCAUGCCUAACACAUGCAAGUCGAACGAGACCUUCGGGUCUAGUGGCGCACGGGUGCGUACCGCGUGGGAACCUGCCCUUAGGUUCGGAAUAACUCCCCGAAAGGGGUGCUAAUACCGGAUAAUGUCUUAGGACCAAAGAUUUAUCGCCUUUGGAUGGGCCCGCGUUGGAUUAGCUAGUUGGUAGGGUAAAAGCCUACCAAGGCGACGAUGCAUAGCUGGUCUGAGAGGAUGAUCAGCCACACUGGGACUGAGACACGGCCCAGACUCCUACGGGAGGCAGCAGUAGGGAAUAUUGGACAAGGGGCGAAAGCCUGAUCCAGCAAUGCCGCGGGAGUGAUGAAGGCCUUAGGGUUGUAAAUCUCUUUUACCCGGGAUGAUAAUGACAGUACCGGGAGAAUAAGCUCCGGCUAACUCCGUG